Molecule: ribosomal RNA, 687 nt
Filed under: Escherichia coli
Lineage: Bacteria; Pseudomonadati; Pseudomonadota; Gammaproteobacteria; Enterobacterales; Enterobacteriaceae
Description: partial 23S ribosomal RNA
Rfam family: Bacterial large subunit ribosomal RNA
Source: RNAcentral
UGUGUGUUAGUGGAAGCGUCUGGAAAGGCGCGCGAUACAGGGUGACAGCCCCGUACACAAAAAUACACAUACUGUGAGCUCGAUGAGUAGGGCGGGACACGUGGUAUCCUGUCUGAAUAUGGGGGGACCAUCCUCCAAGGCUAAAUACUCCUGACUGACCGAUAGUGAACCAGUACCGUGAGGGAAAGGCGAAAAGAACCCCGGCGAGGGGAGUGAAAAAGAACCUGAAACCGUGUACGUACAAGCAGUGGGAGCACGCUUAGGCGUGUGACUGCGUACCUUUUGUAUAAUGGGUCAGCGACUUAUAUUCUGUAGCAAGGUUAACCGAAUAGGGGAGCCGAAGGGAAACCGAGUCUUAACUGGGCGUUAAGUUGCAGGGUAUAGACCCGAAACCCGGUGAUCUAGCCAUGGGCAGGUUGAAGGUUGGGUAACACUAACUGGAGGACCGAACCGACUAAUGUUGAAAAAUUAGCGGAUGACUUGUGGCUGGGGGUGAAAGGCCAAUCAAACCGGGAGAUAGCUGGUUCUCCCCGAAAGCUAUUUAGGUAGCGCCUCGUGAAUUCAUCUCCGGGGGUAGAGCACUGUUUCGGCAAGGGGGUCAUCCCGACUUACCAACCCGAUGCAAACUGCGAAUACCGGAGAAUGUUAUCACGGGAGACACACGGCGGGUGCUAACGUCCGUCGUGA